UGAGGAAUUUUGCGCAAUGGCCGCAAGGCUGACGCAGCAACGCCGCGUGGGUGACGAAGGCCUUCGGGUCGUAAAGCCCUGUCAGGUGGGAAGAAUGGCUGGGGGACUAAUAAGCCCGCAGAUUGACGGUACCACCAGAGGAAGCACCGGCUAACUCCGUGCCAGCAGCCGCGGUAAUACGGAGGGUGCAAGCGUUAUUCGGAAUUACUGGGCGUAAAGCGCGUGCAGGCGGGCCGACAAGUCUGAUGUGAAAGCCCCGGGCUCAACCGUGGAAGUGCAUUGGAAACUGUUGGUCUUGAGUUCUGGAGAGGAAGGGGGAAUUCCCGGUGUAGAGGUGAAAUUCGUAGAGAUCGGGAGGAAUACCAGUGGCGAAGGCGCCCUUCUGGACGGCAACUGACGCUGAGACGCGAAAGCGUGGGGAGCAAACA
RNAcentral lists this ribosomal RNA (428 nucleotides) under uncultured prokaryote. Its description in RNAcentral is "bacterial SSU rRNA". It matches the Rfam family "Bacterial small subunit ribosomal RNA", at positions 355 to 774 of the family's 1533-position model. The record is from RNAcentral.